GGGGGGGGGGGACCGGCGUACCCCUACCGGGCGGCCGAACCAAUACUUUAAUCCCAGACUUGUGCGUGCUUUGCAAAACCACAAGAGGGACCACGUCUUCAAAAACGAGCUUUAAGAAAGCUUCUGGAUUAUGUCACCCAGAAAGCCAAGCUACGGGGUUUCCAAGCGCACACUAAAGGGCAAUGUGUGUGUUGUACGAUCGGGAAGGCUAAGCAACGGGGUUUCCGAGCGCACACCAGAGGGCGAUUUGUGACGCAGUAAUAAUUUCUAACCAAAAGAUGAAAUUUCAAAGUCCCACCUUUUUCUAUUUCUAAAAAAAAUCCAGCAAUAUGGCGUCUUGUAUUGGGGAAGCUUUAAGACAAAGGAUUUUCAUCUUAUUUGUUGACCGCGCUGGGGAUCAUACUAGAGACUAUGAUGCCACAAGGAAUGCCGCUCCCCACCCCCCACCCCACCGCCCAGAGAAAAGCCCCUGUGUCCUGGAUGUUCUCAUCCAUUCUUCAGUAUUUACAGAGAAGAGCCUAUUGUUAGGUUCACAUAUGAGGAAACAGAGGCUAGGAAUCAUACCAGAACCUUCAGCCAGGAAGAAAUUGCAAAAGAGGGGCAGAAAAUGGCAACAGCUGAAUCCUCAGCUAUGGAAGCUUGUGUCUAUGGGUACAGUACGUAAAUGAGAGGAUCCAGCAAGCGGUUUAGCAGGAUGCAUCUCUUACAUUCAAGAACUACAAAGAUGGCAAGAGGCGAAAUGCCAUACUUUGAGGAGAGACAAGAAAAGAAGACACUGAAGAGGGAAGACACAUGAAGGGGUACAGAACACAUCGAGGACCCACAGGUAUGAGUCUCAGAGCCAUGAGAAUGAUGCUUUCUGUCUGCCUUCUCUGGGACCAUGGCUUAAGCAAGGCACCCCGGUGCACCCUCUCUUGCUGCCUUCCUCCUUUGGACAUCAAGACCUCCUUCCCUGGAUUAGCUCAUCCUGAUGCCUUCUAGACUUAACUUCUACCAAGCCGCCCUGCAUCCUCACAGCCGCCCUGCAUCCUCACAGCCGCCCUGCAUCCUCACAGCCACCCUGCAUCCUCACAACUGCUCAGCAUCUGGCCCAGAGUUCAGUCAGAAGAAGCAUUUGCUGAAGCCCAUCUCUGACACAUGGACACUGUCCCAAAAAGGAGUUCCUGCCCUGGGUUCCACAGACUGGGUGGUGACAACCCCAAGAUACUGUAAAGAACUACAGUAGGAACCGCCAGUGACCUUCCUCAGAGGAGGCUUGUGCCAUGGUAAGCCACAGGCAGGGACCACACCAGACACCUGCCCCUUCCUCCAUUCAGUUGUCAAGCCCAGAUCACCUGGACCCCCUUCUCUGAUGUCUUAGGGCUGUGACUGGCUGGCAAUCAUGCAGUAACUACUCAGUGUUAGGCUCAUGUCAGUCCUCCUGAGGGCCAUUGCUUCUCCUAUUUGCUCAUCACCUCCUCAGAUCGGCACAGGGUUGUGUAUUGAGUGGAACAACACAUGCAAAGGAACAGCCUGCCUCCAGCUAUUAGCAGCGAAGACCCAGUAAGUGGCUCCUUACCAGGAUGGGUGGAACCUGUUAUUACAAGGAGGCACCAAGUUGGCAGGAGGGUAGGGAAGAGCACUCACUGGGGAGUGACAUCUGAGAACUCAAUGCCUACCAGUGUAGAGAAGGAUGCUGGGAGGAACAGGGUCCUGGUCCCAGGCAAGAGAUAUGCAUGUGCCAACGCUCACGGCUAUGACAGGAGAUGGGGCUGGCAUGGUAAGGAGGCAAGGGGGCCUGGGAACGCUGCUGGACUUUAUUCGGAGAGAAAUGAAAAGGCGUGAAGGGUGAAGUGAAAUGCUCCGUUUUCAAAUUGUGAAGAGAAAGACAGAUAUACACACGUGUGUACAUGCCUGGAAACUGAUAGAUCAUAAGUAAAUUACAUAGCACACUGUCUCUGGGGGAGUAUCUGAAUCACUGAUUCAUACAUUUGUCAGGAUGAAUUGGGAGGUAGAGAGGUCAUGAAUUUAAUCCACUCCAGACCUCUUUUCCUUAAUAACUGUGCCCUGUAUGUACAGAAGGUCUGAGGGAUGGUAGAAUGGAACAGAAACUCCAGAUUAGCAUCUAGCACAGUCCCCUACCAAAACUGGGAUGCUGGACAACCUAACAAAUCUCUCAAAACAUCUGUCCCCUCAUUUGCCAACCCAUAACCUUUCCACCUGAAAGCAUGGGCUACAUGUCACAUCUUGGGACACAAAGCCCUGUUUCCUACUAUAAUGAACACUAGGGAGGGUCAUUACAAGCCUGCCUGGUGGACUCGGCACAGAAGCCUUGAGAAAAUUAAGGACACUUAAGUCCUUCAGGCUGAACAUGCCGUGUGUGUCCCUGAGAGCCUGCCUCUAGCCUGCACUGUGCUGCAAGCGGAGGACAGGAGCGCCAAGCUCUCUGCACCCUGGGCUUCCGGCUGGACCCAGAACUGUGGGCAAAAUCAGCAAGGGAUGAGACAGAAGGAUGAGUAUGGCCAGAAAAGACACCCUACAAUCCAGAUGGGCUGAGCCCUGUCCUCCCAUGGGGAAGUCCUCUCCCCACAGUCCUCCUAUGCCUCCCACACCUGGAGGUUUUCAGGGUCCCCCAGAGGUUACCAGCUUUAGUCAACUGCUUUACCAUACCUCUCGCCCUCCCAUCACUAGGCUUUUGAAAAGAAGCCCUCUAUUUAGUUUGCAGCAUGCCCUCUCUGACGUGGCCACCAGUUUCUGAAAAUAAUCCUAAAGGUUAUGUCCAAUGAAAGCUCCCUUUUCUCGUAUUCCUCCGCUUGGGCCUCAGGCCUGGUAUAUGGCCACCUCUGGAGCAUGGAGCAGUGGGGGCCAGAAGCACAAAGGACAUUGCCAGCCAACACAGACCCUUGACAUGGCUAGCAUAGGGUACCAGUGCACUGGGUGGGACAGAACACCCAGACCACCUAAUCCUCAUGUUCUGAGCCUGACUGCACAUGUGAGUUAGGGGGUGGGAAAUCAUCAGAUUCCUGGGGCAGGGCUGAGAACCUUCCGUAUGAACUGAGGACCGAACAUGGAAGUUAAGACACUGCUGGUGGUGUGUGUGCUUUUGGGGAGAACAAGGCAGGAUACUUUGUCUUGAAAAGUGAUCAAUAUGGCAGAUUAAUGCACAGAAAACAGAGUGCAGAUGAAACUCCCUAAAAUAUUUAUGAUGUUCGAGUGGUUUUUUUUUUAACAGAAGCAAGUUUUUCCUGUGCAUGCCAGCCCACUCCAUCAAAAGAACACUUUAAUAAGGCAACUCCUGCAGGAGGCUCAGCCUGGGCGUCGCAGCAGGACGCGAUGGUGUGUUUCAUAAGAUAUUCAUGGCUCUCUCUAGAAAAGAACAUUUUGGGAAGUAGGAAGCCCUUCUCCUUUAUCAAUCUGGCCAUUUUCAUAACCAGAGAAGUAAUAAUAGAGCGGAUGCGCUAGAAGCUUCUGCUGCUUUUUUGCCUUAAGGGAAAAAGGAGGUGGUGGAGAAUUCUGGGUGAUGAUAAUAGUACCAUAUAUUAAACCUGAUGUCAUUCAUCAAGUGAUGGGCAAGAGGCUGUGAUGUGUGACUUUUACUCCUCUGGGCUCAAGUCUCCACGGGAGCCUUGGCUCCAGAUGCUGAACAGCAGCUCUUGUCUUGGCCUCGCUGUUAGAAAGCCCUCUAGGAGCCCCCCUUCCUUUCCUCAAAUAUCACAAAUAUUGCAAGCUAGGCUCAGGCUGGUUUGGCUGAGAUCUCUUGGGUUCUGAGGUGCCUCCCAGACACAGCCUCGUUUUUUAGUUGCUCAAAAAUAGUCUUCACCAACUUCCCUUUGCUGGUUUCUUACCAGUCACUCACUCACUGCACAUUUACUGAGCAACUAGAAUUCAGAUUUUAGGAGUAAUGUCCUGUGCAGGACUAUGUAUACAGAAGUAAGAUGAGUAAGAAAAAGGCGUAUGACAUGGAACACAGACCCCUGGUCAAAGGGCCUUUAUCUUAGGAAGGAUGCAACAGUACCAUCCUGGUUAGUAGGUGCCAGUGUCUUAAAGGAUCAUGUCUGCUUUCAGACCCACAGCAGGGUGAGGGUACAUUGGAAAAGUCUCAAGACACAGAAAAAACAUGUGUGAACUGAUGGGGAUGUGUCAGGUGUAUUUGGGGUUGAAACAGCAAAAAGGACUGUAUGAGUCCAAACAUGACAUUGGGACAGCAAAAAUAAUGAAGGCCUUGCACUAGCACAGCCAGUUCACACAGGCAGAGGCUGUGGAUGAGGCCUGUGCCAUGAGGACACCAAGCGAGGUCUGUGCACGUCCAACAAGACAACCAGGCCAUGCCUCCUAAUAGUGCCACUCCCUAUGAGACUAUGGGGG
Molecule: long non-coding RNA, 4344 nt
Organism: Onychomys torridus (southern grasshopper mouse)
Lineage: Eukaryota; Metazoa; Chordata; Mammalia; Rodentia; Cricetidae
Exons: 5
Source: RefSeq, a predicted model, not a curated record